Molecule: non-coding RNA, 26 nt
Filed under: Cricetulus griseus (Chinese hamster)
Lineage: Eukaryota; Metazoa; Chordata; Mammalia; Rodentia; Cricetidae
Source: RNAcentral
UACUGGCGACUCAGGGUCAGGGCCUG